This 253-nucleotide ribosomal RNA is filed under the name uncultured bacterium. RNAcentral describes it as "partial 16S ribosomal RNA". It matches the Rfam family "Bacterial small subunit ribosomal RNA", at positions 524 to 776 of the family's 1533-position model. The record is from RNAcentral.
UACGUAGGGUGCAAGCGUUAUCCGGAAUUAUUGGGCGUAAAGAGCUCGUAGGCGGUUUGUCGCGUCUGCCGUGAAAGUCCGGGGCUCAACUCCGGAUCUGCGGUGGGUACGGGCAGACUAGAGUGCAGUAGGGGAGACUGGAAUUCCUGGUGUAGCGGUGAAAUGCGCAGAUAUCAGGAGGAACACCGAUGGCGAAGGCAGGUCUCUGGGCAUUAACUGACGCUGAGGAGCGAAAGCAUGGGGAGCGAACAGG